GACGAACGCUGGCGGCGUGCCUAAUACAUGCAAGUUGAGCGCUGAAGGUUGGUACUUGUACCAACUGGAUGAGCAGCGAACGGGUGAGUAACGCGUGGGGAAUCUGCCUUUGAGCGGGGGACAACAUUUGGAAACGAAUGCUAAUGCCGCAUAAAAACUUUAAACACAAGUUUUAAGUUUGAAAGAUGCAAUUGCAUCACUCAAAGAUGAUCCCGCGUUGUAUUAGCUAGUUGGUGAGGUAAAGGCUCACCAAGGCGAUGAUACAUAGCCGACCUGAGAGGGUGAUCGGCCAAAUUGGGACUGAGAAACGGCCCAAACUCCUACGGGAGGCAGCAGUAGGGAAUCUUCGGACAUGGACGAAAGUCUGACCGAGCAACGCCGCGUGAGUGAAGAAGGGUUUCGGAUCGUAAAACUCUGUUGGUAGAGAAGAACGUUGGUGAGAGUGGAAAGCUCAUCAAGUGACGGUAACUACCCAGAAAGGGACGGCUAACUACGUG
Molecule: ribosomal RNA, 497 nt
Filed under: uncultured bacterium
Lineage: Bacteria
Description: partial 16S ribosomal RNA
Rfam family: Bacterial small subunit ribosomal RNA
Source: RNAcentral